RNAcentral lists this ribosomal RNA (460 nucleotides) under uncultured bacterium. RNAcentral's name for it is "partial 16S ribosomal RNA". It matches the Rfam family "Bacterial small subunit ribosomal RNA", at positions 338 to 795 of the family's 1533-position model. The record is from RNAcentral.
CCUACGGGAGGCAGCAGUGAGGAAUAUUGGUCAAUGGACGAGAGUCUGAACCAGCCAAGUAGCGUGAAGGAUGACUGCCCUAUGGGUUGUAAACUUCUUUUAUAUGGGAAUAAAAUGUUCCACGUGUGGGAUUUUGUAUGUACCAUAUGAAUAAGGAUCGGCUAACUCCGUGCCAGCAGCCGCGGUAAUACGGAGGAUCCGAGCGUUAUCCGGAUUUAUUGGGUUUAAAGGGCGCGUAGGUGGAUUGUUAAGUCAGUUGUGAAAGUUUGCGGCUCAACCGGAAAAUUGCAGUUGAAACUGGCAGUCUUGAGUACAGUAGAGGUGGGCGGAAGUCGUGGUGUAGCGGUGAAAUGCUUAGAUAUCACGAAGAACUCCGAUUGCGAAGGCAGCUUACUGGACUGCAACUGACACUGAGGCUCGAAAGUGUGGGUAUCAAACAGGAUUAGAUACCCUUGUAGUC